RNAcentral lists this ribosomal RNA (515 nucleotides) under uncultured Verrucomicrobiota bacterium. Its description in RNAcentral is "bacterial SSU rRNA". It matches the Rfam family "Bacterial small subunit ribosomal RNA", at positions 390 to 896 of the family's 1533-position model. Lineage: Bacteria; Pseudomonadati; Verrucomicrobiota. The record is from RNAcentral.
AGCGACGCCGCGUGGAGGAUGAAGGUCUUCGGAUUGUAAACUCCUGUCAUUGGUGAACAAGGCCAUCGGUUAACUGCCGUUUGGUUUGAUAGUAGCCGAAAGAGGAAGAGACGGCUAACUCUGUGCCAGCAGCCGCGGUAAUACAGAGGUCUCAAGCGUUGUUCGGAUUCAUUGGGCGUAAAGGGUGCGUAGGCGGCGAGGCAAGUCUGGUGUGAAAUCCCGGGGCUCAACCCCGGAACUGCACUGGAUACUGCUUUGCUAGAGUACUGGAGAGGGAACUGGAAUUUACGGUGUAGCAGUGAAAUGCGUAGAUAUCGUAAGGAAGACCAGCGGCGAAGGCGAGUUCCUGGACAGUUACUGACGCUGAGGCACGAAGGCCAGGGGAGCAAACGGGAUUAGAUACCCCGGUAGUCCUGGCAGUAAACGGUGUGCGUUUGGUGUGGGAGGAUUCGACCCCUUCCGUGCCGGAGCUAACGCGUUAAACGCACCGCCUGGGGAGUACGGUCGCAAGAUUA